Long non-coding RNA from Oncorhynchus keta (chum salmon), 405 nucleotides. RefSeq lists it as uncharacterized. The record is from RefSeq and is a predicted model, not a curated record. The transcript has 3 exons. NCBI's taxonomy places the organism in Eukaryota, Metazoa, Chordata, Actinopteri, Salmoniformes, Salmonidae.
ACCAAACAAAUUAUGAGGGACAUCUCGUUGGCAACGGUUGAGUGCCAAGAUUGCUGUCUUAUCUCUGCAACAGUGACACCGCACGCCUUCCGGUGAGGUGGCGCUGGUGAAACUACUGUGAAGGCUCCUCUAACCGUCUACUCUAACCGUCUACUCUAACUGUCUCCUCUAACCUCGGCACCUCCACUUCUCUCGACCAGAGAGAUAGAGGAAAGUGUCAAAGAUAGGUGUAUGGGCUAUUUGACCAAGAAGGAGAGUGAUGGAGUGUUGCAUCAGAUGACUUGGCAUCCACAAUCCCCCGACCUCAACCCAAUUGAAAUGGUUUGGGAUGAGUUGGAUCGCAGAGUGAAGGAAAAACAGCCAACAAGUGCUCAGCAAAUGUGGGAACUCCUUCAAGACUGUUGG